CUUAAAUAUAUUCAGUUUUUAGUUCACACACAAGUUGUUCGACAGAAAGAUAGAUGGGAUAGGUCGGAGAAAUUUAUUACUGAAAUGGUAAUUUUCGGGAAAAAAUGAUUAUAAAUUCAGGUUAAAGCGA
This is a long non-coding RNA of Bradysia coprophila, 130 nucleotides long. NCBI's taxonomy places the organism in Eukaryota, Metazoa, Arthropoda, Insecta, Diptera, Sciaridae. The record is from RefSeq and is a predicted model, not a curated record.